UGGGGAAUAUUGCACAAUGGGCGCAAGCCUGAUGCAGCGACGCCGCGUGGGGGAUGACGGCCUUCGGGUUGUAAACUCCUUUCGCCAGGGACGAAGCGUUUUGUGACGGUACCUGGAGAAGAAGCACCGGCUAACUACGUGCCAGCAGCCGCGGUAAUACGUAGGGUGCAAGCGUUGUCCGGAAUUACCUGGGCGUAAAGAGCUCGUAGGUGGUUUGUCACGUCGUCUGUGAAAUUCCACAGCUUAACUGUGGGCGUGCAGGCGAUACGGGCUGACUUGAGUACUGUAGGGGUAACUGGAAUUCCUGGUGUAGCGGUGAAAUGCGCAGAUAUCAGGAGGAACACCGAUGGCGAAGGCAGGUUACUGGGCAGUUACUGACGCUGAGGAGCGAAAGCAUGGGUAGCAAACAGGAUUAGAUACCCUGGUAGUCCAUGCCGUAAACGGUGGGCGCUAGGUGUAGGGGCCUUUUGGGGUUUCUGUGCCGUAGCUAACGCAUUAAGCGCCCCGCCUGGGGAGUACGGCCGCAAGGCUA
RNAcentral lists this ribosomal RNA (532 nucleotides) under uncultured bacterium. Its description in RNAcentral is "bacterial SSU rRNA". It matches the Rfam family "Bacterial small subunit ribosomal RNA", at positions 355 to 896 of the family's 1533-position model. The record is from RNAcentral.